UACGGAGGGGGCUAGCGUUGUUCGGAAUUACUGGGCGUAAAGCGCACGUAGGCGGCUUUGUAAGUUAGAGGUGAAAGCCCAGGGCUUAACCCUGGAAUUGCCUUUAAGACUGCAUCGCUAGAAUCGUGGAGAGGUGAGUGGAAUUCCCAGUGUAGAGGUGAAAUUCGUAGAUAUUGGGAAGAACACCGGUGGCGAAGGCGGCUCACUGGCCCGAAACUGACGCUCAUGCACGACAGCGUGGGGAUCAAACAGG
RNAcentral lists this ribosomal RNA (253 nucleotides) under uncultured bacterium. RNAcentral's name for it is "partial 16S ribosomal RNA". It matches the Rfam family "Bacterial small subunit ribosomal RNA", at positions 524 to 776 of the family's 1533-position model. The record is from RNAcentral.